AUAAUGGUUCUAAAACAUGACUCUGAGUGAAUAACUAUUACCAGCAGUAUGAUUGUCAAAUGCAACAUCCUCACCAAUAAUCUCCACAAGAACAACAUCCCUCUUUGAAGUGAUGAAACCUACUGGAAUCACGUACAAUUAUCUCUCGUUUUUUCAUCUUGGAUAUGUACUUGAUAGCCAUGUGACAAUCACUACAAAUUCGUAAAUUCUUCAUUAUCCUAAUUGGAAAACCCUCCGGGGUGUUCA
RNAcentral lists this unclassified non-coding RNA (246 nucleotides) under Hevea brasiliensis (rubber tree). The record is from RNAcentral. Lineage: Eukaryota; Viridiplantae; Streptophyta; Magnoliopsida; Malpighiales; Euphorbiaceae.